GACGAACCGUGCGAACGUUGUUCGGAAUCACUGGGCUUAAAGGGCGCGUAGGCGGGCAUUCAAGUCAGGGGUGAAAUCCCCCAGCUUAACUGGGGAACUGCCUUUGAUACUGGGUGCCUCGAGUAAGGUAGGGGCAUGCGGAACUGAUGGUGGAGCGGUGAAAUGUGUUGAUAUCAUCAGGAACUCCGGUGGCGAAGGCGGCAUGCUGGACCUUCACUGACGCUGAGGCGCGAAAGCUAGGGGAG
Molecule: ribosomal RNA, 245 nt
Filed under: uncultured Gemmata sp.
Lineage: Bacteria; Pseudomonadati; Planctomycetota; Planctomycetia; Gemmatales; Gemmataceae
Description: partial 16S ribosomal RNA
Rfam family: Bacterial small subunit ribosomal RNA
Source: RNAcentral